Small nucleolar RNA from Malania oleifera, 108 nucleotides. The record is from RefSeq and is a predicted model, not a curated record. NCBI's taxonomy places the organism in Eukaryota, Viridiplantae, Streptophyta, Magnoliopsida, Santalales, Ximeniaceae.
AACCUAUGAUGUGGACAAAUAUUUAUCAGAUCCUUGAACCUCUCCCAGCGAGCCCAAAAAGUCUCAUCACCCUUUUGCAUAAACUGAAUAAUUUGUUCUCGUAAAAAU